This is a long non-coding RNA of Girardinichthys multiradiatus, 701 nucleotides long. RefSeq lists it as uncharacterized. The transcript is spliced from 3 exons. Lineage: Eukaryota; Metazoa; Chordata; Actinopteri; Cyprinodontiformes; Goodeidae. The record is from RefSeq and is a predicted model, not a curated record.
CUGGGAACUCCUUCAAGACUGUUGGAAAACCAUUUCAGAUAAAUCGACCUGCGAAAGAUGAACGUUAUUUCUGAAAACACCUUUUGUGUCAGAUGCUGCGUUUGUGGCCCUGGGGGAAAUCAGAUUUCCAGGGCUGCCUCCCUCUUCCAGCUUCCCCUGAGAGAUGUUCUUCAGCAGCCAACUGCCGAUACAUGCUCUACUGUUUCCAGGUGUGAACAAGUGUAAGUGUGUGAAUGUGAAUCAGGACGUGGUUGAGAAACAGAACACACACCCAACGAUCAUCUCCACAUGGAAAAAAGCCUAAAGACAUUUUAAAAAGCGGGGGAAAAAGUGAAGAAUCCCAUGAGAAAUCUCUGAAGAUUUACCAGCUAAACUCCAGGGAUUAACAGCAGCUCCUGUAUCUCCUGGCAUGCUAAACAAAAAACACUAAACUGGCUGUGCACUUGGCAUAUCUGUCUUUAAAACCAGUACAUGAAACAACAAAGGACUCAAUAGUCAGAAAGGUAAACAGAUGGUGAAUUACUUGGACUGAGUCUACUGUAUGGAAUAAAUACCAUCUUGUAAUGAAAUAAAGGAGUUUUUGCUCACACACAAAGAUCUUCAAACAAUAAUUUCAGCUGUGCUUUACUGUUUAAGGUUCAAGAACAGAACAAGAAACAAAAUCAAAGGCAAUUUUCACACAUGAACAGAGAAGAUUGCAG